This is a non-coding RNA of Nelumbo nucifera (sacred lotus), 73 nucleotides long. The record is from Rfam. Lineage: Eukaryota; Viridiplantae; Streptophyta; Magnoliopsida; Proteales; Nelumbonaceae.
UGGGAUGUAGCUCAAACGGUAGAGCGAUCGCUUUCAAUGCAAGAGGUACGAGGUUUGAUACCCCGCAUCUCCA